CAAGAACACUAUGCCUGGCAAAGUUGUCCUUCAGAAAUGAAGAAGAGAUAAAGACAUUCUCAAACAAAAGCUGAGGGACUUCACAAAUCCUGCCUUACAAGGAAUGUUCAAGGGACUUCUACAAGUCAAAACAAAAAGAGUACUAAGUAACAAAAUGAAAACGUAUGAAAGUGUAGAGCUCACUGAUAAAGGUAAAUAUAUGAUCAAAUUUAGAAUAUGCUAAUAUGGUAAUGAUGGUGCAUAAAUCACAUUUAACUCUAGUAUAAAAGUUAAAUUACAAAAUUAUUAAAAUAACUAAAACAAUAAUUUGUUGAUGGAUACACAAUAUUAAAAGAUGUAAAGUAUGGCAUAAGUAGUAUAAAAUGUGGGAGAGAGACAAGAUGUAAGAGUGUAGUUUUGGUAUGUGAUUGAAGUUAAGUUGUUACCAGCUUAAAAUAGACUAUAAUAAAUAUAAUUUUAUGUAUGCUUUAUGGUAAUCACAAAGAAAAAUUCUCUAGUAGAUACAUAAUACAUAGAAAGAAAAGAAUCAAAACAUGCAUUUUUUGUAAAAAAUCAACAAAUCACAAAGGAAGACAGCAUGAGAGGAAAAAAGGAACAAAGAAACUACAAAACAGUCAGAAAACAACAAAAUGGCAGGUAUAAGUCCUUACCUAUCUUAAUUAUUUUCAAAGUAAACUAAUUAAAUUCUCUAAGACAGAGUAGCUGAAUGGAUUUUAAAAAACAGGAGUUAAAAUCCUUUAAAAUUAAAAAGAACAGACUCCAACAGUAUGCUGCCUACUAGAGAUUCCAUUUAGCUUUAAGGACACACACAGACUAAACUUUGUUUAUGAGUUAUAAGAAUUUUUAUGAAGCUUUGGUACAUGAUUGAAGUUGUUACCAGCUUAAAAUAGGCUGUAAUAAAUGUGUUUUAUGUACGCUUCAUGUGAAGUUUUAUGAAGUUUCUACAUACAGGAUCUUGUUAUCUGCAAACACAGAUAAUUUUCUUCAUGCUUUCUGAUUUGGAUUUCUUUCUUUCUUUCUUUCUUUUUUUUAAGGAAAACAUGAUUUAAAUGCGUUUGGAAAGUGUUUUUUAUUUUAUUUUAUUAUUUUUUUUUUUUUAAAGAGAGAGAGUGCAAGUCAGGGAAGUAUACAGGGAGACAGAGGGAGAGAAUCUUAAGCAGACUCCACACUCAGCACACAGCCCAAUGCAGGGCUCGAUCUCACAACAUGAGCCAAACUCAAGAGAUCAUGACAUGAGCCAAACUCAAGAAUUGGGCACUUCACUGACUGAGCCACCCAGGCGCCCCUGAUGUGGAUUACUUUUAUUUAUUUCUAUUGCCUAAUUGUUUUGGCUAGGGCUCCAGUACUAUGUUGAAUAGAGGUGGUGAGAAUGGGUAUCCUUGUCUUGUUCCUGAUCAUCACUGAGUAUAAUGUUAACUGUGGGCUGUUAUAUAUGGUCUAUACUCUGUUGAGGUACAUUCUUGUAUACCUAGUUUAUGAGUAUUAUUUUAUCAUAAAAAGAUGUUGAAUUUUGUCAAAUGUUUUAUAUGCAUAUAUCGAGAUGAUCAUAUGAUUUUUAUCCUUAAUUAUAUUAACGUGGUGUAUCAUGUUUAUGGAUUUCCUUAUGCUGAGCCAUCCUUGCAUCACAGAGAAAAAUCAACUAAUAUUUGACAAGGAUGCCAAGAAUACACAGUGGGGGAAAUUAUAGUCUUUUCCACAAAUGCUGUUGGGGAAAAAUAGAUAUCAUAUGCAAAAAAAUUAAAUUGCACCCUUCCUUUACACCAUCCACAAAAAUCAACUCAAAAUGAAUUAAAGACUUCAACACAAGACCUGAAAUGGUAAAAUUCUUAGAGAAAAACAGAGCAGAUCUUUUUGACAUUGGUCUUGAUGAUGUUUUCUUAGAUAGGACACCAAAAAUACAGGCCACAAAAUCAAAAAUAGACAGAUAAGACUACACCAAGCUUCUGCAAAGCAAAGGAAACAAGAGAAUGAAAAGGCAACCUAUGGAAUGAAAGAAAAUAUUUGCAAAUCAUAUAUCUGAUUUGGGCUAUAUGCCCUUGAUCAACUGAGGUUUAUUAAUUAAUGUAAUUCACCAUACUAAAAGUCUGAGGAAUAAAGACCACUUAAUUAUAUAAAUAAAUGCAGAUAAACCUCAACAAAAUAAUAUAGCCGUUCGUGAUAAAACUCUAAGCAAACUCGGAGUAAAAAUUAACUUCUUUGAGCUGAUAAAGGCAUCUACAAAAGCCCUACAGAUAACAUCAUAUUUAAUGAUGAAAAACUGCUUUGCCACUAACUCAGAACAAAGCAAGUAAGUCUAGUCUCACCACUCCUGUUCAACACCACCCAUCCAGAAAAUCCCAGGGAAUCUACCAAAACAACCUCUUUGAACUAAUAGGUCAUAAGAUAUAAGAUCAACACACAAAUCAAUCUUCAGGACUCCAUCUCCUGUUCUAUUGAUCUAUGUGCUCAUUUUUGUGCCAAUACUAUACUGUUUUGAUUAAUUACAGUUUGUAAUAUACCUUGAAAUCUGGGAUUGUGAUACUUCCAGGUUUGUUGUAUAAUAUUGUAAUAUGUUGUAUAGUGCCAGAUGGUGGUGACCGCAGUUAUGGUAAACAUUGGGUAAUGUGGAGAAUUGUCGAAUCAAUAUUUUUGAAACAGUGCUGACAAUACUGACCCCAUCAUUGACUGUGUGUUCCAGGCCCCUUGGUGAUUAGCUUACAUACCUUGGAAAUGCCCAUCAAGGUAGUACCACAAGCACUAACUGAAGUAGCCGUCAGUUAGGUGCUCGCAAGCCCUUUGAGGAACACGCAGACCCUUUGAGCUCACUACAGUGCCCCUUUUGUGUGGCCCCUCGCUCUAUAAAAUCUGUGGACUAAGGUCUGAAUUUUGUGGAGCGUAACUAUGCAGGUGACAUGGAUCAUCCUCCACCGGAUCCUUCCUGUCAGUAAGUUUCCCUGAGUAAAACUGUGCAAACUGUAUGGAGUGGCCUGCUUUAUUUUCCAGUCUCAAAGUGGCUUCUCAGUUUGGGGGACACUUUCCUGUCUCUUCUCUACCUUCUAACAAUGUUAUAUGAUGUGGGAAUAAUGGGGUUCAGAGCCCAUGGCCAAGAAAGAAUUCUUGAGACAUCUUCAGUGCAAAAAGGUGGUUUUAUUAAAGCACAGAGACAGGACCCAUGGGCAGAGAGAGCUACACUAGGGUUGUGAGCAGUGGCUGAUUAUAUAUUUUCAGAUUGGGAGGGGGUUAGGGAUAGCGUAAGUCUAUAAGGAAUUUUGCAAGCAAGGUUUCCAGGACUUGAAGGGGGCUAGCUGUUGUUAGGAAAAGGUCAUUUAUUACUGUCUAGGGAAACCUCAGUCACAAGACCCUCCAGAUGUAUAUCAGUGGGCCAUAUCCUUGGAGGAUGAUUGCUAACAUCUAUCUUGAGGGGAGGGGACAGAGAUAAAGGAUGUUUCCAAAGGAAUUUUUAUAUGUUAAAGUAGACUUACAGGAUCCUGGGGGGUCAAGAUGAUGUUAAGCUAAGAUUGCCUUUUGCCUUUAUCAAAGUGUUAGCAUCAAGGCAGCUGAGCUCCCAAAGGAAGGUCACUCUGCCUGUUUCAAAGAUUUGUCAGUGAGUUGUAGAUAGUAGGGAAAUUUAACUUGUUCUUAUUGCCUUUGUUUCCCACAUCAUUGUACACUUGAAAUUAACAUAACAUUGAAUGUCAAUUUUACUUCAGUAAUAAUAAAAAAUGUAUCUUCAACUGCA
Long non-coding RNA from Neofelis nebulosa (Clouded leopard), 3718 nucleotides. RefSeq lists it as uncharacterized. NCBI's taxonomy places the organism in Eukaryota, Metazoa, Chordata, Mammalia, Carnivora, Felidae. The transcript has 2 exons. The record is from RefSeq and is a predicted model, not a curated record.